AUUGAACGCUGGCGGCAGGCCUAACACAUGCAAGUCGAACGGUAACAGGAAGAAGCUUGCUUCUUUGCUGACGAGUGGCGGACGGGUGAGUAUUGUCUGGGAAACUGCCUGAUGGAGGGGGAUAACUACUGGAAACGGUAGCUAAUACCGCAUAACGUCGCAAGACCAAAGAGGGGGACCUUCGGGCCUCUUGCCAUCGGAUGUGCCCAGAUGGGAUUAGCUAGUAGGUGGGGUAACGGCUCACCUAGGCGACGAUCCCUAGCUGGUCUGAGAGGAUGACCAGCCACACUGGAACUGAGACACGGUCCAGACUCCUACGGGAGGCAGCAGUGGGGAAUAUUGCACAAUGGGCGCAAGCCUGAUGCAGCCAUGCCGCGUGUAUGAAGAAGGCCUUCGGGUUGUAAAGUACUUUCAGCGGGGAGGAAGGGAGUAAAGUUAAUACCUUUGCUCAUUGACGUUACCCGCAGAAGAAGCACCGGCUAACUCCGUG
RNAcentral lists this ribosomal RNA (490 nucleotides) under uncultured bacterium. RNAcentral's name for it is "partial 16S ribosomal RNA". It matches the Rfam family "Bacterial small subunit ribosomal RNA", at positions 30 to 507 of the family's 1533-position model. The record is from RNAcentral.